RNAcentral lists this long non-coding RNA (974 nucleotides) under Homo sapiens (human). RNAcentral describes it as "HSALNT0138895". Lineage: Eukaryota; Metazoa; Chordata; Mammalia; Primates; Hominidae. The record is from RNAcentral.
CUUCAGCUCGCGCACGGUGCGGGCACCCACUGACCUGCGCCCACUGUCUGGCACUCCCUAGUGAGAUGAACCCAGUACCUCAGAUGGAAAUGCAGAAAUCACCGUCUUCUGCAUUGGUAGGCUGAGUAGUCUCAAGAUCUGAAGACAGCAGAAACCUGGGAAAGUUAAUGAUAUACGUUGUUAUACUCCAAGUGUGAGUCUGAAGACAAGGGAAGACCAACGUCCAAGCUUGAAGACAGUCAGAUAGAAUCAUUCUGCAGCCUGGCUAAGGAUGAAGAUAACUGAUAAACUAUUAUAUACCACUUAACAUUGAAGAACUUAAGAAUGUGCAAUGAGAGUUAAACUUCGAAUCACGCAUGGCAAUCAGUGCCUACUCAUGCCAUUUCACUUCAAAGGGACGGUGUCUAGAAACAUUCUUUUUACAAGGCAUUGAUAUAUGUAAAGAAUGUAUCAAUGAAUAGAUGAUGGUGGUGUUUCAGUUACAAAAGCAGAGAAAGAAAUUUGUUACUGAAGGCAAACUUGUACACCUGGGCAAAGCACUUGCAUUCUUUUAAGUUCUGUCAAAGGUAGUACUUCUCAAACUUAAAUAUGCAUGCAAAUCACCUGAGGAAUCACAGAAGAAUUCAGAUUCUCAUGUGAAGGUCUAGAGUGGGGCUUGACCCUCUGCAUAAUAAGCUUCCAAGUGAUGCUGAUACAGCUUGUCCACUUUGAAUAACAAGGAUUUAGUUGAAAGAAACCCUGAAUCAUGGACAUACUUUGAUUUAUCUCUGCUCUUUCUUGAUUUGGACUCAUUAAACCAACUUCAGAUUACAAUUUGCCUUCUCUGUUGGUUUAUCUAAAUAGCAGUAUUGUUAAUCCCAAGAUUGUAUCCCUUAUGGUGAAUAAACAUGUGGACAUUCCAGAUUUAUGCAUUUAGGCAUUUAUUUCUGUGAGGUUGGUUAAUGUGCAUUUGUUUCAGAUGAGGUUAAUAAAAU